Molecule: ribosomal RNA, 227 nt
Filed under: uncultured bacterium
Lineage: Bacteria
Description: partial 16S ribosomal RNA
Rfam family: Bacterial small subunit ribosomal RNA
Source: RNAcentral
UGAGUAACACGUAUCCAACCUGCCGUCUACUCUUGGACAGCCUUCUGAAAGGAAGAUUAAUACAAGAUGGCAUCAUGAGUCCACAUGUUCACAUGAUUAAAGGUAUUCCGGUAGACGAUGGGGAUGCGUUCCAUUAGAUAGUAGGCGGGGUAACGGCCCACCUAGUCUACGAUGGAUAGGGGUUCUGAGAGGAAGGUCCCCCACAUUGGAACUGAGACACGGUCCAA